This 465-nucleotide ribosomal RNA is filed under the name uncultured bacterium. RNAcentral describes it as "bacterial SSU rRNA". It matches the Rfam family "Bacterial small subunit ribosomal RNA", at positions 338 to 795 of the family's 1533-position model. The record is from RNAcentral.
CCUACGGGACGCAGCAGUGGGGAAUAUUGCACAAUGGGCGCAAGCCUGAUGCAGCCAUGCCGCGUGUGUGAAGGAGGCCUUCGGGCUGUAAAGCACUCUCAGCGGGGAGGAAGGCGAUAAGGUUAAUAACCUUGUCGAUUGACGUUACCCGCAGAAGAAGCACCGGCUAACUCCGUGCCAGCAGCCGCGGUAAUACGGAGGGUGCAAGCGUUAAUCGGAAUUACUGGGCGUAAAGCGCACGCAGGCGGUUUGUUAAGUCAGAUGUGAAAUCCCCGGGCUCAACCUGGGAACUGCAUCUGAUACUGGCAAGCUUGAGUCUCGUAGAGGGGGGUAGAAUUCCAGGUGUAGCGGUGAAAUGCGUAGAGAUCUGGAGGAAUACCGGUGGCGAAGGCGGCCCCCUGGACGAAGACUGACGCUCAGGUGCGAAAGCGUGGGGAGCAAACAGGAUUAGAUACCCCGGUAGUC